This 465-nucleotide ribosomal RNA is filed under the name uncultured bacterium. RNAcentral's name for it is "partial 16S ribosomal RNA". It matches the Rfam family "Bacterial small subunit ribosomal RNA", at positions 28 to 507 of the family's 1533-position model. The record is from RNAcentral.
GACGAACGCUGGCGGCGUGCUUAACACAUGCAAGUCGAACGGAAAGGCCCUGCUUGCAGGGUACUCGAGUGGCGAACGGGUGGGUAACACGUGGGUGAUCUGCCCUGCACUUCGGGUUAAGCCUGGUAAACUGGGUCUAAUACCGGAUAGGAGCCAUUUUUAGUGUGAUGGUUGGAAAGUUUUGUCGGUUUAGGAUGAGCUCGCGGCCUAUCAGCUUGUUGGUGGGGUUAUGGCCUACCAAGGCGGCGUCGGGUAGCCGGCCUGAGAGGGUGGACGGCCACAUUGGGACUGAGGGACGGCCCAGACACCUACGGGAGGCAGAUGUGGGGAAUAUUGAACAAGCGGCGCAAGCCUGAUGCAGCGACGCCGCGUGGGGGAUGACGGCCUUCGUGUUGUAAACUCAUUUCGCUAGGGACGAAGCUUGUUGUGACGGUACCUAGAUAAGAAGCACCGGCUAACUACGUG